Molecule: ribosomal RNA, 611 nt
Filed under: Microcystis viridis
Lineage: Bacteria; Bacillati; Cyanobacteriota; Cyanophyceae; Chroococcales; Microcystaceae
Description: bacterial SSU rRNA
Rfam family: Bacterial small subunit ribosomal RNA
Source: RNAcentral
GAAUCUAACUUCAGGACGGGGACAACAGUUGGAAACGACUGCUAAUACCCGAUGUGCCGCGAGGUGAAACCUAAUUGGCCUGAAGAAGAGCUUGCGUCUGAUUAGCUAGUUGGUGGGGUAAAAGCCUACCAAGGCGACGAUCAGUAGCUGGUCUGAGAGGAUGAGCAGCCACACUGGGACUGAGACACGGCCCAGACUCCUACGGGAGGCAGCAGUGGGGAAUUUUCCGCAAUGGGCGAAAGCCUGACGGAGCAACGCCGCGUGAGGGAGGAAGGUCUUUGGAUUGUAAACCUCUUUUCUCAAGGAAGAAGUUCUGACGGUACUUGAGGAAUCAGCCUCGGCUAACUCCGUGCCAGCAGCCGCGGUAAUACGGGGGAGGCAAGCGUUAUCCGGAAUUAUUGGGCGUAAAGCGUCCGCAGGUGGUCAGCCAAGUCUGCUGUCAAAUCAGGUUGCUUAACGACCUAAAGGCGGUGGAAACUGGCAGACUAGAGAGCAGUAGGGGUAGCAGGAAUUCCCAGUGUAGCGGUGAAAUGCGUAGAGAUUGGGAAGAACAUCGGUGGCGAAAGCGUGCUACUGGGCUGUAUCUGACACUCAGGGACGAAAGCUAGGGG